GCUCCCAUGGCGUAGUGGUCACUGCGCUCGCCUUGCACGCGGGAGACCCGGGUUCGAUUCCCGAUGGGGUCA
Molecule: transfer RNA, 72 nt
Filed under: Diaphorina citri (Asian citrus psyllid)
Lineage: Eukaryota; Metazoa; Arthropoda; Insecta; Hemiptera; Psyllidae
Rfam family: tRNA
About the family: Transfer RNA (tRNA) molecules are approximately 80 nucleotides in length. Their secondary structure includes four short double-helical elements and three loops (D, anti-codon, and T loops). Further hydrogen bonds mediate the characteristic L-shaped molecular structure. tRNAs have two regions of fundamental functional importance: the anti-codon, which is responsible for specific mRNA codon recognition, and the 3' end, to which the tRNAs corresponding amino acid is attached (by aminoacyl-tRNA synthetases). tRNAs cope with the degeneracy of the genetic code in two manners: having more than one tRNA (with a specific anti-codon) for a particular amino acid; and 'wobble' base-pairing, i.e. permitting non-standard base-pairing at the 3rd anti-codon position.
Source: Rfam by way of RNAcentral